GCACGCUCAGAUACCCAGACGUCCGGCCACCUCAAUAGGCACACUCCGCACCCUGUGAUCCGACCAUCCGCGGAGGCGUGCUAGACCUCCGGGUGGGCGUGCUGGGCUUCUAUGCGGCGGAAGUCUAGACCACAGAUUGUGACUUCUCUUCUAGCAGUAGGUAUUGACUGGUCCCACUGCCGCCCUUCUGCCUGAGAGUAGUUCAAACUGGAGGGAAGAAGACAUAUGUGCUUGGUCUGCCGCCUUAAACCAGGAGUCUGAAAGAUGGGUCUGAAGGCUGCAGGCAAGGAUCUCUUAGACUGAGGAUAAUAGACACCAGAGCCGCACUACCACAGACAUCUCCACCAGAAACGAGUCAUCCAUCUUAUUUUUGAAACGGGGUCUUUCAUUGAACCUGGAACUCACUGACUGAGCUAGAGUUGCUGUUGAGAAAGCCCCAGGAAUCCUUUCGCCUUCCACCCCUCAACAUUUUCAAUACAGUGCAUCCUCAGGCCCACCAAAGUCUGCCAGGAUGAUGCAGAAGGCCACGCCACAGGAAGAAGUGAGGUAAACAGGUCAGGGCCAGAGCUCACCAGAAUGGACUAGUCCAGCUAGCCAGCUUGCUCUGAGGAUCCUCUGCAUCUGCCUCUGGAACGCUGAGAUUGCACUCCGCCAGCCGCCAUUUCUAAGGUU
RNAcentral lists this long non-coding RNA (672 nucleotides) under Rattus norvegicus (Norway rat). Its description in RNAcentral is "long non-coding RNA NONRATT028208". The record is from RNAcentral. Lineage: Eukaryota; Metazoa; Chordata; Mammalia; Rodentia; Muridae.